This 61-nucleotide transfer RNA is filed under the name Candidatus Azambacteria bacterium. RNAcentral describes it as "tRNA-Ser". It matches the Rfam family "tRNA". From Rfam's summary of the family: Transfer RNA (tRNA) molecules are approximately 80 nucleotides in length. Their secondary structure includes four short double-helical elements and three loops (D, anti-codon, and T loops). The record is from RNAcentral. Lineage: Bacteria; Candidatus Azamiibacteriota.
GGGCGACUAGCUCAGUUGGUUAGAGCGNNGAAGGUCAUAGGUUCGAGUCCUAUGCCGCCCA